This is a long non-coding RNA of Leopardus geoffroyi (Geoffroy's cat), 3597 nucleotides long. RefSeq lists it as uncharacterized. The transcript is spliced from 5 exons. The record is from RefSeq and is a predicted model, not a curated record. Lineage: Eukaryota; Metazoa; Chordata; Mammalia; Carnivora; Felidae.
CAUCCCACCAGGGUUUUUGCAAUUAGGCAUAGUGAUUGAAUUAGUUAACUUUGGAGAGAUGUGUUGGAGUCACCUAGACUUGUGAUCCGAAGCCUCCGUCUCUGGGAUGCCACAGUCUGACACGGGUUUGUAACCAGGAGGCAACUGUGUGGAGAGAGAGAGAGGGGUAGGUGAGGGAAUGAAUGCAUUGCAUAUGCUUUCUCUUCCUCUAUCUACAGGUACUUGAACCCUGAUUUUUCAGCAUCACCAUGAGUAUUGUGACCAUAACGCCAACACAAGGGAAAUGAAAAUGGGUCUUAAUAAUAUCAUUUGGGUCUGGAACCUAGUUGUGCCCCAAAGCCAGCGUCUAUCCUGGGCAUUUCUGAAAAAGAGGCUUCUCUCUAUCUCUCUCUCUCUUUUUUGAUUUAAGUGACUUCGAGUUGAAGUUUUAGUCCCAUGCAAGAGAAGGAGUUGUAACUGACACAGGAGCUUUGCACUGCCAGUAAAUUGCUUUGCUUUGCAGAAUGCAAAGCCAAGCUUCAAGAAGAAAGAAAAGAAGUGCUGGGAUGGCUCCUUUUUGAUUCUAGUUUCUUAUUUAUUUCUUGUUUUGUUGUUUUUGUAAAGAACAUAUAAGAAACUCUCCAACUGAAUGCCACAUGGUGCCUAGAUCCUAUCCUUCUUCAGCAAAAACGUUUUUCUGUUCUCUGGAUCGUUCCUGGAUACUGUAGUUCUAGAAAUGAAGACAUGGAGAGGGCUGGCUGGAGUCAAAUUAAAAAAAAAAAAAAAAAGCAAUCUGAAGGGGGUAGAAAUGAUCAAAGCAAAGAAAAAAGAGUGAAAUAUCCUAAUCUGAAGAUGAUUUCGUUUUCCAAAAGCUCCUAGCAAAUUGAGAAGGCAGCCAAAGGAAAGGCUUGUCUGGGAAGGUAUGCAUCAAAUAAAAGCAACGGCCAUGGAAACAGAAGGUCUGUCUUCUAAAAUGGAUUUCUGGCAGUGAAACUCACUGGCUAUAGCCAGCCCAGACCGAACUCCUUUCUUCAUCCUUGAAUGAAUCACUAUGGUCCCAGGGAUGUGAUGCUGUGCUUGGUCAGACUUGAGUCACCUGUCCACUUCUGGAUCUAUGGAGAUGAUGGACAUCACCCUGCUGAGAUUAUGGAAAGAGCAGUAUGGGGAAAAUCAGGAUGCAAAAGAAGAAUGAAUGGAAGUCAGGCAGGAAGUGUGUCUCUUUCUGAGAAGAUGGAUGCUCACCAAAAAAUAAAGCAUGUGGAAGGUAAAUCGGUGUUUUUGGAUGGAUGCCUUGUUGGAAGAAGACAAGAGGGUGGUCAUGCCAUUCUUACCUGACUUUCCCUUCUUCCACUUGAUACUCUGCCUUCAGAAGCAGGUGGAGUCCAAUUCUCAAUCAAUGGAAAGGCCCCUUACAGAGCUCCACCCGUAUUAGCAGAACAUGGACUGCCUGAUGCCUUUUAAAGAUAAGCUUCCUGCUGACGCUUUGCAACGGUUUACAAGCUGCAACCCUUAUGAAAUGUACUUCCACAAGCACAUCCCAAGGUCUUGUUCAAGAAAAUGGGAGCGGUGUUUCAUGAAAUACAAAUGACCUCAUAGGAUUGUUGUAAGAUUCAAGAAUUUAAAAUGAAUGCUUCCCGUGAUGUCUGGCCCAGAGUAAGUACUCAAUAGUAGUAUUACAGUCGUAUGAUUAUUAUUAAUGAGGGAUUUCGGUUUCCAAAACAGAAAACUCUAAAUAUGAUAUACCUGAUUUUUUUUUUUUUUUAAUCACAGGUACUUUAUCAGUGUUUGCCGGCUGGAAAUGUACAGAUUUCAGCUGUCAGUUAUGGGUAGAGGUUGGAAGUUUAUUGAGUGCCUACCACAUGUCUGGGCAUCCAUUAGGUUCUUUAACCAAAUUAUCACUACAUUUAAUGGUCACACCUGCUCAACAAAGUAGAUAUUAUUCUUCCAUUUGUAAAUACCAAAGUUGAGGCUCAAGGAUGACACGUGACCUGCCCAAGUUGUGUAGACACCCGGUCGUGAAAUGGGAAAUUUGGCUUGGAUUUGUUUUCCUCAAAGCCCUUUAUUAUUCUCAGUGGGUAUUCUACAAAUCAGGGAUCUGGAGGAAAUUUACAGUAGUCUACCUGAAAUCAAACACUUGACCAACGUGAGGUGAUGCAGGACUCAAUACUUUGGGGAAGUCCCAUUCCAACCCUACCAAAAAUCUUGCCUGUAUGGGAUUCACCUUGUUCUGCCACUUUGAAGCCUUGCAUUUAAUCCCUGUGCCCAAAGCACUUCCCCUGUAUCUUCUUCCUCAGCUAGCUCUCAUUCACUUGUCAGUCCUUUUCCUUGUCUGCCUCCCCAUCCUGCUGAGCAGGAGGCCAGCAUUGUAUCCCGAGCACAUAACACCUUGUGUUCCGUAGAUAUUUAUAGAUAAGUGAAUGGUAUCGUUUCAUGACUGGUUAUUUCUGCCCUAGAGUCGUAAAGAAAAGGAAAAUAAGGUUAUUAUUUAAUAAGCACCAUCUCUGUGAUACAUAAGAGUCUCAGAACAUGGUUUCAUGGAGUUUUUGGCAAUAACAUUGAAAAUUUCUGUGUAGAAUGAUGCCGGCCACUAAACUAUAAGGAAAGCUUUGGGCCACAGUGGAGAUUGUUGAAAAUGGCAGCCUAAUUUUGCCUGAGUCUUGAGGGUGUCUACAGAAUGGUGCACAGCUCUGCAGGUUCAGAAACUCUCUUUUUCACAGAACUGUAUCUUGACGAGAGGGUGGUGUUUGUGACGCCGCUCAAAGAAACCAAUUCACGUGAAUGCUGCUCAGUUAUAAUGGUUACUGUCUGUGGUGACUUCUUUUACCACGCUGUGUCCUAAGCACAUCUCACGUGUUACCUCUCAUUUUCCUGGUAUUUCUUUAGAGUACUGAUUAGUAUUUGCAUUACAAACGAGAGGGCAUGGCAUAAGCCCUGAGAAGUUUUGCCACUUGCCAAAGACCUGUAGCUAGUGAGUGGCAGAGCAAGAAGUUAAAUUCAGGUCUGUCUCUGAAGCUCAUUUUGCCUCACGGGGCUACCUGGUCAUCCAAGAUGGGAGCUCUCUCCCUCUUCUUUUUAUGGGAGUUGCAUUGUCAACGUAAUUGGUACUGGACAUGAAUGAAUAAGUUCUCUCUGAAAACUAUCCUUGUGAGAAGGAUACACACUGACCUUAAACUAAAAUUCAAGGCAAAUGUUCCUUUAAAGCUUUGUCCGCUCGGCUUAAUCAUGCUACCGGCUCAUCUUCCUCAAUGCCAAGAACAUUUUGAUGGUGAUAACAAGGAGCAGUUGUUAAUAUCUGAACAUCUAUUUCGGUGCUUAAUUCUGAAUCCAUGCUUAGCCUUUGAAAUCAAAUUCUCCUUAUGUUCCAUUUCUUUGUUUGAGAGUACCUCACAUUAGGCUUGUUUUAGUUCGACAUUAAUUAUAGUUUUGCACGCAGAGAGUAUCCCUGGUUUUGAGAGCCUGACUAACUUUCUCAGUGGUUGAGGGAUUAUUUCCUGCAAAGAUUUCCAUGGAUGAAUUCUUUGAUGCAUUUUAUUUUGAUCUUACCUAUUUCAGGGCAUAUCUGGAAGGCAAGGAAGAGCUGGGAAAAUUGAUUUUCUUGAGCCCAUCCUCAAAGACUGG